Long non-coding RNA from Uloborus diversus, 399 nucleotides. RefSeq lists it as uncharacterized. NCBI's taxonomy places the organism in Eukaryota, Metazoa, Arthropoda, Arachnida, Araneae, Uloboridae. The transcript has 3 exons. The record is from RefSeq and is a predicted model, not a curated record.
UCCAACGGCAGGUGUCCGCAGCGACAGAUGGCCGCUCGCCGCCCGUUCGGAGGCCCGCCGGAUAGCGCAGGCAGCCCGCAGCACAAGGACCCGGCACCGUCGUUUCACUGCAGCUCUGGUUUUCUCCUUCACCCUGAAAACGGACUUAUACAACUUUUUACUUGGGGAAACAUGCAGCAGCAUUUCUAGAGGAGCUAAAAAUAACUAUGCUGUGCUGUCUAUACAUGAGCUAAUAACCAUGCUGUGUAUUUUUCGGAGAAUUUGGCAGAGUUGAGCACACAUCAGGCCCGGACUGGCUCCUUUUGGGGUGGUCGUUUAGGUACUGGAAAGUCGCCCCCUGAUGUGGGGGUUCUGGGGGCCCUUCCCCCGAAAAUGUAAGAAAAUUAUUGUUUCAAAAAC